RNAcentral lists this long non-coding RNA (5529 nucleotides) under Homo sapiens (human). Its description in RNAcentral is "HSALNT0085693". Lineage: Eukaryota; Metazoa; Chordata; Mammalia; Primates; Hominidae. The record is from RNAcentral.
CUGGCCUCCCACGCCCCCAUUCUGUGCCUAUAAAAACCCCCGAGGCCCUAGCCGGCAGACACACAGGCGGCUGGAUGUCAAGAGGAGCACAACAGAGGAGGAACACAGAGGUGGCUAGACACAGAGAGUAACACACUGACGGCUGGACAUACGGAGUAAAACACCGACAGGCACGGGCACCCUGGCAGGCCACCGACCAUUAGAAAUAGAAUGACAUGGAGUUUAGCUGGGGCAGUCAGAGGAGAGCCCAGGCUGCUGAACGGCUCGACUCUAGGGGAAACCCUUCCCACUCCACCCCUUCUGACUUUCCGAGAGCUGCUUCCACCCAAUAAAACCUUGCAAUCAUUCUCCAAGCCCAGGUGUGAUCAGAUUCUUUCGGUACAUCAAGGUAAGAACCUGGGAUACAGAAAGCCUCUGUCCCUGAGACAAAGUAGAAGGUCUAAGGGAGCUGCUUAACACAAGCCACCUAUAGACGGCAAAACUAAAAGAGCAAAACUAGAAGAGCACCCUGUGACACACUCCCACUGGGGCUUCAGGAGCUGCAAACAUUCACCCCUACACACUGCUGUGCAGUCGGAGCCCCAUAGCCUGCCCGUCUGUAUGCUCCCCUAGAGGUUUGAGCAGCGGGGCACUGAAGAAGCAACCCCAUUACACGGCCUGCGAGGGGGACAAGGAUCUCUCCCUGUGGUGCCUAGGUUGGUUUAAAACUCUUGGCCUCAAGCGAUCCUCCCACCUUGAAUUCCCAAAGCAAGGUGCUAUUAGUAAUUGGCUCAGAGAACUCGCCAUUAGGGGCAGUGCAUCACUUAACAAUGGCUGGGCGUGAAAGAGAGCCCUGCUCUACUGACCCUUCAAUGUGCCCGUGUGCCUAAAUAUUCCUGGUCGUGUGAAAAGAACCCAGGUAUUAGCUGAACUAAGGAGCACAAUUCUGCAACAUUUUGGCACCCAAACACGGGGCUUGAGAAAUGAAUGCAAUUGGAGAAACUGGUUGUUUUACCAGGCGUUGAUUGGAAAUGUGUGCUUCCCUUUAAGCAGUCAAGCUCAACUUGCAGAACUGAUGGGAACCCCUUGGGAAAACUGGCCUCAAAUGUUUGUCUACACAGUCCACAUACAGGGUUCUUAACCUGCGCAUAUUUAACUAUCCGGCUAUUUUGGAGAUUGAAAAAAGAAGACCUGAUUUAUCAUGUGCAAUAUCUCACACAUCUGUCAUUUCUAUUCUACCGCAAUUCGGUGAGUUCAGCCUCUUUUUACUUCAUGUUUGAAUAAUCGCAAUAGAUUUUAUACUGUUCUCACUGCUAAACUUGCUCCCCCUAUUACCCUACAGACACUCAUAUUCAUCUUGCAUAAUACCACCAGAUUAUUCUUUGUCCAUCUAUUUUCCUAGAUAUUUGUCCUCCACUUUCCUGUCUUUUUUUCUGCACUUCAUUCUACCCAUCUUAGUGAAUAGACAUCUUUUCAACUCUCUCAGGCUAUAUAUACAUCAAUUUUUCAAAAUCCAAGUAAAACUUCACGUCCUUGAGAGAAUUUUAGAGAGCGUGUAAUACCUACAUUUUUUUUUACCAUUUAUUAGGAAUAUAUCUCAGCCCCAGUUAUGUGAUUAUUACAUAUUAUAGUAUAUUAAUGUUUGCAAACUCCUUGUAAAAUCAUACACACCCCAUACUGCUAUAUUCAUUUCAAUAGCAAAACAGUUUCUUUUCAAUUUUGUAAUAAAUAUAUUAAGAUCCUGUCCUCCUCCAGGCCAAUUUUCUUCCCCUAUAUUUAAAGUGCUCUGAUGGAGGUAACUUAUUAAUAAUUUGAGCCUAAAACAGCUUUUCAAAUAUGCAUUUCAUUUUUGCACACCAAGCUGGUGUGUGCCUGCAGGCGCUAUUUCUAUUAAGUGAACAGCUGGAUAUUGUGUAGUGGAUUGACCAGGUGUUUGAGUGAACUCAUUAGUCACCAUAUAGAAGCAACUUAAAAGAAUGAGUCACAGUGAUAGUCAUCUCACUUUGGGAAAAGGAAAAGAAAUAAAUAAAAAUGUUUCAUAUCUAUCAGACAGCCACAAAGCACAGUCCCUAUCAACAGGAGCAAAUUCAAAUAAAAAUGGCCCCACCAUACAUAUUUUAUUUGAUUUACAUCUAGCACUGAAGAUAUACUUUAUGAAUUUUUCCUUUAUUCUGACAGUCAUAAAAUAAACGGAGGUGAAUCAUAUAACUUUUGAAUAUCUACAUAGCCAGAGAUAAACUCUGCAUAUUAAAUAUCUUCCAAUAUUACAUCUACCAAAAAACAUAGCAGAGGUCAUAUUUAUGUUGCAACUGAGAAAACACUCAAAUUAUUUAAAGAGAAAAUUUAAAUACUUUACUAAAAUUCACAUUAAAUUCUGAAUUUUACAUGGGUUUAUGUGGCUCUACCAUUCAUACUGUUGAACUUCUGAGUUAUUAAUAUUUACAAAUAACCCAUGUUCUUUCAAAUGAUUCCAAUGCUUACAGAAACACAUAUAAAAGUACAUACAAUGAAAUAAAACUGUGGCAAUGUAGAAAAAUGAAAACUAUAAUAUGACAACGCAAUGAAGCCAGAGUUAAUGUGAGCACAUGAAAUGAAAUCCUAACAUUUUCUCUUCAGCUUUGUCUCUGUGUCUUACUAUGCUAAUGUAGGUAAUAAGCAGUAUUGAUAGCUGGAAGAAGUAAAUUAGCACAUGAAAAGAACCUUGAUUAUUAUUUGUGCAAUUCCUGGAGUCCACUGAUACUUACCAACUCUUAAAGCUUAGAUCUAGGGUAUCCAAACACUGCUUCCUUUCCAAGAAGGAAACAUACAAAAAAACUAAGGCAGCAUGCUCUAAUUCUUUUUUUCUUUUUUUUCUUUUUUAGAUGGAGUCUUGUUCUGUGGUCCAGGCUAGAGGGCAGUGGCAUGAUCUCGGCUCACUACAAGCUCUGCCUCCCGGGUUCACGCCAUUCUCCUGCCUCAGCCUCCUGAGUAGCUGGGACUACAGGCGCCCGCCACCACGCCUGGCUAAUUUUUUGUAUAUUUACUAGAGAUGGCUAGUGUUAGCCAAGAUGGUCUCGAUCUCCUGACCUCGUGAUCUGCCCACCUCAGCCUGCCAAAGUGCUGGGAUUACUGGCGUGAGCCACCGUGCCUGGCCAGCAUCCUCUAAUUAUUAUUCAUAGUUUGUGAAUUUAGGCCUACGUGAAUAAUAAUAUAAUAUUUACUAUGAUGUUACUAUCUACCAACCUUAUUUUUCUUUUCUAUAAAAUAGGAGCCAAAAUAAUAUUUAUGUCAUACCUUAUGAAGUUAAAAUAAAAUAUAACGAAUGAGGGGCUUAACAAUGAGUGUCAUUUUGUAAUUACUUUGUACCAUUAUUAAUUGCUGAGACAGAAUAUGGUAUCACUAGUCAUCUGUAUCUAUUGCACAACUUUAUUUUGAUUCAUUCCUUACUAUUUUGCAUAGAUAGGCCUAAAUUUUUGAUCCACUGCUCAACUCCUGUCUUUAAACCAUUGGUUCUCAAAUAGAGUUGAUUUUGACACCUAGGGAACAUUUGACAACAUAUGGAGAUAUUGUUGAUUUUACAGGGCAACCCUUCAUAAGCACAGAAUUAUCUGGCCCCAAAUGUCGACAGUGUCAAGUUCGAGAAACUCUGCACUAGGCUUUUCUGUCUGGUUACUCACCCCUCUUCUUUGCACUGCCCCCAGUUUUAUGGAUAUUGAAUUCCUGAUUUCUCACUAUAUUAAUUGCACUUAUAGAUAUUCUAAAUUGAUUUGUAUAUAUCUUCCUAGUUUGACCCAUUGCUUUUAACUGAAUUUUACUGGGCUUUUAUAAAGGCCAUUUCCAUGGAGUUUAGUCAUUAUCUUCACCAAAUUUUUAUUUGCUUCAGUCUGGGGAGGAACUCUAUAUUAAAAAAUAAAAACAAACCCAAAAACUAAUUUAUGAAAGACAUUUUAUAAUGUAAUUACUUAAACAUUUUUUUUCUUCUUUCUCAUACGAUCUUUUAAAUUCAGUGAGUGACAUGUGGUUUUCAGGCUGGGUCAGGAAGUUUGCUUGGACGGGGAAAUUCUGUCUGCUGAGACACUAGGGGAGCAAAUGCCUAUGUGGGCACAGGCUGGUCACUGACCUCCUAGGGUUCCCUGACAAUAAAUUAGUCCUAGUUGAGGUCGCCAUCAUCAGAACUUAAUUGGUCCCUGGUACUGGUGAAUCUCUGCACCACAGAGACUAAUCAGUUACAGAACUCAGCUUCUGGGCAUAGGCAACCUUUUCUGUUUUUUCAAUUUUUUGUCAGCAAAGUUGAGAAAAUGAACACACUCAAACAGCCCAUUUCUUAGCUUAUCAAUAUCCGUACCCACUUCUUUCCCUCAUCAACAUGUAUUUUCCAUAUUUUGUUGGUAUUAACCUCUGACACUCAUCCACACAAGAAAGUCUACAAAGCCUAAACUAACUUUUAAACAUUAUUUAAGGUAAUAGCUUUGUCUUCCACCAGAAACCUGGCGACAUUUUUAAAAGGAUUUGAAGAGAUAUAUACCCGAGGGACAGAGAGAAAAAUUAGUGCUGACCAGUCUGGGCCUACUUGACUAACACAAAAUAGAUUAAAUUAAUAAAAACAAGAUGUUCUGCAUUUAUAAACAUGUUAACUCUUUUUAAUGUGUAUGACUCAUUAAUGAGUUCAUAAUUAGAUUUUGAAGGAUUUCAUUCUGGACCUUGCAGAUUGUAUGUAUCUUUCUGGUAAAUUAGGAAGUAUAAUUUUUCAAUAAAAAAGCUCACUGGAAACCCCUGUAACAAGUAAUAAAUAUUUAAAAUUUGCAGAAAUGUUUACUUAUUCAAUAAAUACUGACUCCACAUUAAGAAAUGCUAGAGAUAAAGCAUUUCUAAAGGCAAAUUCUACUGUUUCCUGGUUUUACAUUCUAGAUUUUAAGACAAAGAUGGCUGCCUUGAAAUUUUAGUUAUGUGAAAGAAAUUUCGUAAUGAUAUAACUUUUUCUUACUCUGACUCUGUGAGACUUUUGUUUAUAUUUUAUGAAACUAUUUCUAUAGCACAUGUUAUAUAAAUAUAUUUGAGAAAUCAUUUUUAGCUUUCAGAAAUUAGUUUGCUUAAUACAUUUUAAUUUUAAUAAAGCUCCAUUCCUCUAGUCCUUUCAUAUCUGGAAUAUAUUUCCUAUACAAUAUCUUCUAUAUUAUUUAAUACUGCUGUUUUUUAAAAGAGAAAUUGAAACCUUUUACUCAUAUAUACCAGACUUCCAAAACUGUCUUGGUUUGAAAAUCAGUUCUCCAAAAUACUUUCUCUAACUUAACUUUAUAUCUUAGGUGCAAAUACAAUCCUGAUAAAUACUAUAGUCAGGCAUUUUAAAAACUUUAUGUUUCCCAUAUACUCAGCAGAGUAUCAUCUUCUUGCCCUUUCCCUCACUAUGGUAUCCUUCAAGAACUUAUUAGCUCAAAUUCCAAAUCCUCAAUGAAACAAUCAUCUAUCAAUUUCAUAAUUCACUGUUUUAUUCAAUAAAUAUUUAGUGAAUGAUUUCUGUGUGUCAGGAGUGUAUUGGGAGCUUGGGGACAAAGUGGUGGGCUAGAUAGGCAU